Aricia agestis (brown argus) is the source of this 157-nucleotide long non-coding RNA. RefSeq lists it as uncharacterized. The transcript is spliced from 3 exons. The record is from RefSeq and is a predicted model, not a curated record. Lineage: Eukaryota; Metazoa; Arthropoda; Insecta; Lepidoptera; Lycaenidae.
GCAAUAUUUAGUUCUGCUUAUACAGGCUGCAAUUAAACCUUUCUGCUAAAUUUUGAUAUAUUGAUCCUUAUUAAAAAUAAAAAUACACAUAUUUUUUCUUUUAUAAUCACUCAGUAUUAAAAUGUUGAGAAAUAGCUUCCGAAAGUUAUCCUAAAAA